Molecule: long non-coding RNA, 509 nt
Organism: Strongylocentrotus purpuratus (purple sea urchin)
Lineage: Eukaryota; Metazoa; Echinodermata; Echinoidea; Camarodonta; Strongylocentrotidae
Exons: 2
Source: RefSeq, a predicted model, not a curated record
UGAACAAUAGAGAAUGAGUUCUCAUUUGAACUGAGACUGUUGAUAUAAUAUAUGUAAUGAUUCACAUGCAUGUAAUCAUAUGAUAUACAGUGUAUUUGUUUUGAGAAAUUUCAAGCUUUCAGAAAGACUCCUCAUCCGGUGGGGCGGGAGGAUGUUUCGUUGAUCGAAACUUAUUUCUAGUGGAUUUGCUGAUAUUUACUCUUUUUCUUGUUCAUUGAAAGAUACCAUAGAUUUUUCGGUUUACGGCCGUUUAUAGGUGGCUAAUUUUAGCUUCGAAACAUGUCAGAAAACCCGAGGCACAAGUUUCGACCGAAGGCUUGAAAUUUCAACCGUAUGUGCAGAUUUCGUCAAGCUAGAAGUUUGGCCGACUCUCAUUAUGUUUAAGAAAGUUUAUAGUUCCUGCCCAAGAAAUUGAAUUAUAUAUUCUUCAACAUCUGAACUGCGUUGUUCGACGACAUUUGACUCACAUCGUUGGUCAUUUGAUUAAAGUACAAAUCAACGCCAUAAUA